GUGAUGGGGAUGCAAAAAGGACCAGUGAUCUGACGGUCUGCCUCCAUGUGGGCACUGUCCAUCCGUGAGUUUCUGCUCACCGUCUCCAAGCCCCAACCUCUGUUCUUUGCCCUCUGAAUUUCUUCUUUCCACCUGGGCUGUCUUUUGUUCUCUUUCUCCCUGAGGCUAUGACGGUGGCAGGGUGCCCAGCCAGGACAUGGACAUCAGCCAUGGUUCUAGGUUCUCUGCAAGUGUGCGAGUGUGUGUGUAGGGGCUGGGGAUGGGGCUGGAGGUCAUUCACAGAUCAGAGCACAGGAGGCGAGAGAGAGCUUCUGAGGGUAGGACUGCCGGUCCUUCACACCCUACGCCCUGGAGCCCUGAGGACCUGUCACUCGGACCCACCACCAGCCAGAGCAGCAUCAGUCACUGACCAGAGGAGCCCAGAAGCCACAGGAGUGCCCACAUGGCUGGUACAUUGGAGACGCUCUGGAAUAAAUACACCUGGGCCUUUGAAAACGGAGGUCUUCUCUAUAUUAGGAAGGAAGCCAGAGCAGAUCACCUUCCUGCAAGUCUGCCAUGUUCUUCAAUCCAUGGGAUGCAGUCAGAUAUGUGCCACAGAGUCAAGGUAAGUGACACAGAUGCAGACAGCCCUGCCCCAGG
Vulpes vulpes (red fox) is the source of this 639-nucleotide long non-coding RNA. NCBI's taxonomy places the organism in Eukaryota, Metazoa, Chordata, Mammalia, Carnivora, Canidae. The record is from Ensembl.